GGGCUCGUAGCUCAGCUUGGUAGAGCGGCUGGCUCUUAUACAGCAUGCCAGGGGUUCGAAUCCCCUCGAGCCCG
RNAcentral lists this transfer RNA (74 nucleotides) under Candidatus Micrarchaeota archaeon CG1_02_55_22. Its description in RNAcentral is "tRNA-Lys". It matches the Rfam family "tRNA". Rfam says of the family: Transfer RNA (tRNA) molecules are approximately 80 nucleotides in length. Their secondary structure includes four short double-helical elements and three loops (D, anti-codon, and T loops). Further hydrogen bonds mediate the characteristic L-shaped molecular structure. tRNAs have two regions of fundamental functional importance: the anti-codon, which is responsible for specific mRNA codon recognition, and the 3' end, to which the tRNAs corresponding amino acid is attached (by aminoacyl-tRNA synthetases). tRNAs cope with the degeneracy of the genetic code in two manners: having more than one tRNA (with a specific anti-codon) for a particular amino acid; and 'wobble' base-pairing, i.e. permitting non-standard base-pairing at the 3rd anti-codon position. Lineage: Archaea; Nanobdellati; Microcaldota. The record is from RNAcentral.